This is a non-coding RNA of Monodelphis domestica (gray short-tailed opossum), 1906 nucleotides long. Lineage: Eukaryota; Metazoa; Chordata; Mammalia; Didelphimorphia; Didelphidae. The record is from RefSeq and is a predicted model, not a curated record.
AUAGAAGUCUCUGCCGCCUCUGUUCUGGGGCUGGAGGGAACCCCGCAGCCUGGCGGGUGCUGCCUGUUGAGAUGCUGCUGGGGAGUUGUGGGAGGAAAGAGACGGGGGAGCCGGGAAGGGAGUUCUCUGGUCUGGCAGCAGCAGCCAAUCAGCUGCCUGGAAACCAUCCCUCCCCAGGGAUGCAGGAAACUGCCCCGCCCAGAACAUCUUGGAGAGAACCAGCCCCAGCCGGGGGUCUCGGCUCCCUCUGCUGAGCUAGCCAUUGUCCUGAACUUAAUGCCAGCGUCUCCGUCAUCCCAGGCCGCCGGAAGCCAGCGGGGAGCGGGACGGACCACGGCCGGGGCGGGAUUUUUCUCCACCGGGGGACCGUGGGCUAUGGCCGAGGGGAGAACUAGGGCUGGGGCCCGGCGGCGAUGGAGUUGCGGGGCUCAGCCACCAGAUGGGCACAUGCAUGUGAGUGCGAGCUGGCAGCCACAUCUGUCACCCCUUUGGUCGCUGGGAUUGAAUGGAAGGGCACGCAUUCUCCCCCAAAUUUAACGGAAGUUCCUCGAAGGCAGGGACUGGCUCAUUUUUGUCUUUAUCUCCCCAGCGCCCGGCGCAUAGUAGGCACUUGGCACUGUUCUUUGACUGAAAGACCGGAAGCUUCCGUUCAAAGCUUUAUGCAACAUAUUCACUCCCGUGAUUGCUGUGGGGUCCCUGAGGGGCAGCAUCUCGUGGGCACCGAAGAGUUGGGGUCACAGAAGCUCUAGAACAGCCCUUGGAGCAUCUUGAGAUCCAUCCAGCGGCCUCUCUGAGGACCAGGGUUGCCCGCCCAGGUGUGACCUCAUGGCGGGAUAAAUGAAGUGAGAUACACUGUGCAUUCAGCCCGGGUAUGCAGGAGUGCUCUGCCAUACUACUGUGGUACGUUUAUUACAUAGGUUUUUGGCGCACACACACAAAAUCAGUUCUCUACUCUCUGACAUUCUACAGUUUGACUGGAUAUUAUCAAAUCCCCUAAACAACACUCUUGUGAUGUUACUACAACAAAGAGUAGCGGUGAUCACUCUCUAGGAUUCUACAACAGCCUGUCAUAGGUAUGAAUAAUGUGAAUAAAGCCAUUUGUAGGAUACCCCUUGACCUGCUGAGACGAUCAUUGUGCUUUGGUCUGCUUUCACUAUCCAUCAUAAUUGCUUGGGAGAUAAACAACAAAACAGCUUUGUAUCUAGGUGUGAGGACUUAAAGCAGACCAGUUUUGGGGGUUUUCUUCAAUUUACAAGUUGUUUUUCUUGUGUUACUUUGAGAUACUUAGCAACGCUGUUUGGCUUCUGUUCCAACGAAUUCAUUCAAGUGGUAUAACUGUAGGACAAGAUUCAUUAUGUAGUAGGGCUGGUGGAGAUUGGUUACUCAAUGCUCAGCACCUGCAUAAGGAGUCCAGUGUGUAAUAAAGCUGGAAAGAAGAAGUCCUGAUAGCCUGCUGACACACAAGACCCGAAAUUCCAGAUUCUCUUCAGGUCUCUGAAGGCUGGGAAGAAUGUAACAUGUAGAAAGCUGGCAGCCUCCAUCAUGUUCCCCUCCUGAGUCGAGGGCACUAGACACUUCAGAAAGUUCCCUUUGGCUGAGAACUGAGACUCCAUCUCUGCCUCUUUCUGUCUUUGUCUCUGUCUGUCUCUUUGUCUCUAUCUCUCUGUCUCUGGCUGUCUCUGUCUCUCUCUGUCUCUGUCUCUGCUUCUGUCUUUCUUUGUCUCUGCCUCUGUCUCUGUUUCGCUCUUUCCCUCUUCCCCAAAUUCUCUUGUUCCCAUCUGGAGCUCACUUACCUUGCGUACUGCCUGGUAUAUAGUCUUGUAUGUAUUUUUUUCUGUUUUUUUUUUAGUUCAAUAUCUUUAUUUUCAAAAUUAAAAAAAAAAAAACCAAAGUCCUAGACAGUUUA